Molecule: ribosomal RNA, 162 nt
Filed under: uncultured bacterium
Lineage: Bacteria
Description: partial 16S rRNA
Rfam family: Bacterial small subunit ribosomal RNA
Source: RNAcentral
UAGGGAAUCUUCCACAAUGGGCGCAGCCUGAUGGAGCAACGCCGCGUGAGUGAAGAAGGUCUUCGGAUCGUAAACUCUGUUGUUAGAGAAGAACAUGCGAGAGAGUAACUGUUCUUGUAUUGACGGUAUCUAACCAGAAAGCCACGGCUAACUACGUGCCAG